UGAGGCCUUAUUUCCAGGACUCUGGAGAAAUCGAUGGAAAUAGAUGGUGAUGUACCAGCGGAUUCCAGGUUCUGACCCGUGGAAUGCUGAAUGUAUGUCUACAGAACAAGUGGACGAAAAUUAUAAAUGAAAUUAUAUUAAAUUGGGAGGGUGUCCGUAUGGGGAUUACAGGAUAACAGACUUGGGACAGUUCUGGGAUUGGAAGAGAGGGUAUCCUUAUAGCAUAGGGGAUCCCACAAAGGUGGAUAGGUUUUCCAUGAUAUGGGAAAACCUGGGAGCACUGUUGAACUUUGUAAAGGUGAUGAAAUCUUGCUAACCAUCAAAACGAUUAAGCUCUCUGAUGCAGGCACUUACACCCUCGGACUACAAAGGACCGGGACAGACACGAUGGGUGUGUUUUCUAUUAAGGUGCUGCCAAAACCAGAGGUCCCAGAUGAACCAGGGCCAGACACACUCCUCUACCACCCCUGGACCGAACCUGCCACCACUGUGUUAAAAAUCCCAUUCAGGUAAUUAAUGUUAGACUAUUCAGCUAUUGAUCAAUUAGGCAGUGAGACUGGUGUUAUUGGUAGGGACAAUUUGUGGCUUUCUUAUAUGAGGUACAGUUAAGACCCUGAAAAGAAAGGACUACAUGAGUUACAUGAAACAUUGGUCAUGAUAGACCUGUUCUGGCUACACACCCAUUUGCUAUAGGAGAAGGAGAGGGGUGGUUGUGUAUUCUGAGAGGUUUAUACCUGGUUGAGGCCAAUUCAACUCUCUGUUCCUCUUUGAGCCUUGUGUUUCCUACAGUACCUCCUCAUCGGGCCCCUUGGGGUGUUGAGGCAUAUGGGGGCAAUUACAGUUGCAUCACGGGUACAGGUAAUGGCAUUGAUUAUGGGAGAUUGCCUGAAGCUGAUUGCAGUAGUAACAACCAUUAAUUCCACUUGGCCAGUUACAGGCCUAAACCAAACUAGUGGUCUGGCUGAUGUGUGGUGGAUCUGUGGACCCAAAAGAGUGCUGAGACCCAUUCUUAGAGGAGACUGGCAAGGUUUCGAGUCCCUGGGUGGCAUGAAGCCCAACUGGUGCAGGAUAGGAGUAGCUGAGAGGACCAGAUGGUUUAUAAUAAUGCUUUGCUUUGUUUUACUCUGUUUUCCAUGACCAAAGUUUUAUCCUGUAUCUUACAUGACAAUAAACAAUAAAGUGUUAUCCUGUUUUUGCUAAGUGACACCCUUGUGGGUGUCAAAAGGGGGACUUAAAUUUCACACCAUUUUUUUUGUUCUGUUUUUGAAUGAGCUGUUCUCUUUUGACAUGAAGGUAUUUUAAACUCUGUGACUGUUAUGAUUCAUUGCUGAAUUUUUGUUCACACCCUGGGGGGUGUGAAAAAGAGGGAUUAUUGGUUCCUGUGUUUUACAUUAUAGCCAUUACCAUAUAUAUGAUUGAAUAUUAUCUGCUGUUGGCUUGUGUUGAUGUAUGCAAGUGUUAUGCAACAUAGCUGACUUGAAACAUUGUUAAAAGUGUCAGGGCCAGGGGACUUUCUCAUGCUGAAAAUAAAAUAUAUAUACAGAAGGGAGGGCACAUUCAGAGCGUGGGGUUGCGAGAACAAGCUGUCUUUUGUUAGAUAACAGGAGCCAGGUGCGUGAUAACGGUAUGGAGCAUGAGAGCCUGGCUGCAACUUCUCUUAUGACAUUGCAGUAGAUAUGCUACUGGCGGAGAAAGGUGGAGCUUGUACUAUGUUUGGUGAACAGUGUUGCACUUUCAUCCCUAAUAACACAGCCUCCGAUGGUAGCUUGACCAUGGCCCUAGAAGGUUUGAGGACGCUUAAUGGUAAAAUGAAAUCUCAUUCUGGGAUGGAUACCUCGAUGUGGGACUCCUGGAUGAGUGCGUUUGGUAAAUAUAAAACCCUGGUGUCCUCCAUUUUGGUAUCCAUUCGGUGUUCGCUGCCAUUUUAGUUCUCUGGAUGCUGUUGCAUUCCAUGCAUCCGUUCCCUUGCCACUAGGGUUAUCUCUAGAGCCAUUGACCCUUCCUCCCCCUCCCAGAUGUUUCCUCUGCUGGAUAAAGACCUACUUGAAUUCAAGGAUGAGGAGGAGAGUGCCUAUUUAGGUUUACAUUAUAUCUGCUGUUGCCUUAUGGGGAUGUAUGUAUGUGUUAUGCAAGUGGAUCAUUCCGCCUGACUUGCCUAGUUUAAGUCACAUCUCUUUGGAGAUGUGAAGAGAGGGAAUCACAACUUUUUCCUGCGGGAAAAAAGUUGGCUUAUGUAGACAAGCAUUUACUUUUAUUUUGAGCUGUUGUUCUCCGCUCUGUAAAAUGAGGGUUGUAAGUUCCUAGGUGGCUGGUAGCCAACUUAGUACAUAGUGGGAUUGAAUGGAGAACAUGAUGUAAUACAUAUAUAUCUAUUUCUGUUUAAAACCGUGCCUUAUUUCAUAGUCCCCUUGGGAGAAGUUUCUCUUUGUGUCUGGAUCCAGUUAGGUUGUGUCACGUCUCUUGUGAGACGUGAAGAGAGGGUUUUGUAGAGAAAUGCUAUUUCUUAUGUAGGUGACCAAACUAUUGUUAAGGGGGGGCUACAACUCAGAGUUGAGCCUGUGGGGUCCCCUACAGGAUAGCUCCCGCAUUACACUAAUGGCCAAAACCAGCGCACACACACAUGAUCUCCGUUGUAGCUGAACGUUGAAUGCCCGAAGAGGAUUCUACGAUGACGGACAGACAACUGAGCCAAUGGCGGAAGACUACAGACUACACCCCAGCUGAACCAAUCCAAAGAUCCGAUCUUCCAGAAUCAACCUACUUUCUGUUCUAUAUAUAAGUGGUGUACUGAUUGUAUCGGCCUCUUCUUCGUCUGCGUUUCCGUACGAACCAGCGGGAGAGCCGUAAUUACGCUGUUCUAGAUAUCUUCACUCUGAAUAAACUGUAGCUUGUCAUACAAUUUACCACCUUGUCUGAAUCAAUCCUUG
This 2927-nucleotide long non-coding RNA is filed under the name Oncorhynchus kisutch (coho salmon). Its description in RNAcentral is "lncRNA (ENSOKIG00005044168.1)". Lineage: Eukaryota; Metazoa; Chordata; Actinopteri; Salmoniformes; Salmonidae. The record is from RNAcentral.